UGGGGAAUAUUGCACAAUGGGCGCAAGCCUGAUGCAGCCAUGCCGCGUGUAUGAAGAAGGCCUUCGGGUUGUAAAGUACUUUCAGUCGGGAGGAAGGUGGUAAGGUUAAUAACCUUAUCAAUUGACGUUACCGACAGAAGAAGCACCGGCUAACUCCGUGCCAGCAGCCGCGGUAAUACGGAGGGUGCAAGCGUUAAUCGGAAUUACAGGGCGUAAAGCGCACGCAGGCGGUUGAUUGAGUCAGAUGUGAAAUCCCCGGGCUUAACCCGGGAAUUGCAUCUGAUACUGGUCAGCUAGAGUCUUGUAGAGGGGGGUAGAAUUCCAUGUGUAGCGGUGAAAUGCGUAGAGAUGUGGAGGAAUACCGGUGGCGAAGGCGGCCCCCUGGACAAAGACUGACGCUCAGGUGCGAAAGCGUGGGGAGCAAACAGG
RNAcentral lists this ribosomal RNA (429 nucleotides) under Chloroflexota bacterium. RNAcentral's name for it is "Chloroflexi bacterium partial 16S ribosomal RNA". It matches the Rfam family "Bacterial small subunit ribosomal RNA", at positions 355 to 776 of the family's 1533-position model. The record is from RNAcentral. Lineage: Bacteria; Bacillati; Chloroflexota.